RNAcentral lists this transfer RNA (26 nucleotides) under Diadema antillarum. RNAcentral describes it as "partial tRNA-Lys". Lineage: Eukaryota; Metazoa; Echinodermata; Echinoidea; Diadematoida; Diadematidae. The record is from RNAcentral.
CNGUAGUUAAACUCUACUAUUAAGGA